AUGCUCGCUUCAGCAGCACACACACUAAAACUGGAACAAUACAGAGAAUAUUAGCAUGGCCCUCACACAAGGAUGACACAUAAAAGUUAGAAAACAAUAGGAAAUUU
This is a small nuclear RNA of Leptonychotes weddellii (Weddell seal), 107 nucleotides long. The record is from RefSeq and is a predicted model, not a curated record. Lineage: Eukaryota; Metazoa; Chordata; Mammalia; Carnivora; Phocidae.